Molecule: long non-coding RNA, 1174 nt
Filed under: Nicotiana benthamiana
Lineage: Eukaryota; Viridiplantae; Streptophyta; Magnoliopsida; Solanales; Solanaceae
Description: long non-coding RNA (NBEN_LNC038039)
Source: RNAcentral
CCUUUAAGUUGUCUUUAACGGUCAGUUAAACAUAUUAACUGAGCUCAUUUUUAGUUGGACACUUCAAGCCUCCAAUAAAAUAGGUCAAUUAAACACCUCAUGCUGUAUUGUGUGUUUCUCAAUCCAAUUUCAGCGUGUGAAUGGACUUAAAAUACUAACUAAAGUUUGCCCCCACCCCCAUUCGACCGCUCCAUCAACCAGCCAUCCUAAAUGGUCGCUUCGGUUACCGUACCACCCAACAAAUCAACUCACCAUCCACAAGGGGCAGCCCAACCACCAAAAUACAAAUCCAGUCUACUACUACAUUAAAGAAGAUAAAUCCACCUUUUUUGUGUUAAAAUCAUACUUUGUUAGAACAAUGGUAAUAUCAUAUGAAUCUUAUUCUCUUGUUCUUCAUUUAUGGCAACUGUGACCGCCCCGUUGAUUGGUCGAUGAAAAAUAACUCAAUUACUUCUGAAAUCAAGAAAAAUAUGAAUAUUUCAGAAGCCAAUUAUGCUCAGUACCACGGGCCACCAAAAAAUUUUCAGAUCCACUUUUACCAAAUUCAACCUCUCCAAGCUGAUAAUCACCUUCAAUAGCUCCCAAUCGACCUCACAUCACUACCAAGGUGGCAAAAAUGGUGGUUGUGCUUGAAACAUAAUGGGUUGGUUAAAGCGGGUGAAGGUUGGGGAUUUAAAUUGAAGGGGGAUAAGAAGGAAAUCUGAAAUGAAAAUAAGGGGGAUGAAUCUGGAAAAAAGAAAAUCAAAGGAGGAGGUAUGGAGUUGAAAAUGGUGAUUAAGGAGAAAAAGAAGAAAUAUAUAGUUGCUGAAGAAAAGUGGAGACGAGGAGGAAGGGCCGACAAUGAUUGAUGGUGAUUAAAGGAGCUUUUUUCAUAAUUAUUGUUCUUCUCUCUUUUUUAAAUUGUAUUUUUUUGUUAAUUACAUGUGACAAAAUUACAAGCGUCAUUUUUUAAUUGGUUUAUUUGUGUGUUUAUUUGACCUACUUAAUAGCCACUUAAAGUAUUUAAGUGAAAAUAAUUUCAAUUAAGCUGUUCAACUAAUUGUUGUAGACAACUUGGAGGGGCUGUUUAUGUAUUUCGAUAAAGAAAGAGAGUCUUACUUGCUCAUUAUUAUUAAUAUGAAGAUUUUUUAAAAGACUUAUUUGAUAGAAUAUAAAACUUUAUAUUGUAAUAAAU